Molecule: ribosomal RNA, 406 nt
Filed under: Thaiderces vulgaris
Lineage: Eukaryota; Metazoa; Arthropoda; Arachnida; Araneae; Ochyroceratidae
Description: partial 16S ribosomal RNA
Source: RNAcentral
CCUGCUCAAUGUACAAUAAAUAGCCGCAGAAUUCUGUGCUAAGGUAGCAUAAUAAAUUGUCUUUUAAAUGAAGAAUAGAAUGAAGGAUAUACGAAUUAUUAACUUUUUAAUUUAUACUUUAUAAAAUUUAUAAUAAUGUAAAAAAUCAUUAAAUAAAAUAAAGGACGACAAGACCCUGUUGAACUUUACUAAAAGUUAAGCUGGGGUGGCUAUUAAAUAAAAACUUAAAUACAUAUAAUAAAAUAACUAUCAAAAUAAAUUCAACAAGUUACCGCAGGGAUAACAGCACAAUAAAAUACAAAAGUUCAUAUAAAAUAUUUAUCUUGUGACCUCGAUGUUGAAUUAUUAAUACUAAUUUAAGAAAAAAUAAAUAAAGUAUGUCUGUUCGACAUUUAUAAUAAUACAU